CUAAGGGUGUACGGUGGAUGCCCUGGCAUCAGGAGGCGAAGAAGGGCGUAGUUAGCUGCGAUAAGCCUCGGGGAGCCGCAAGCAGGCCGUGAUCCGAGGAUGCCCGAAUGGGGAAACCCAGGCGAUGAAUGCCGCCUAUCCUUCACUGAAUACAUAGGUGGAGAGAAGCCCACGCAGGGAAGUGAAACAUCUCAGUACCUGCAGGAAAAGAAAGCAAAUGCGAUUCCCUUAGUAGUGGCGAGCGAAAAGGGAAUAGCCCAAACCACACUUAUGCCAAGCUCGUACGCGUUGUAUGUGUGGGGUUGUAGGCCUCAGUUAGAUGGUGAUACGACACUGUCGACGAGUUACAAACUAAGAUCAUAGUAGAACGGUCUGGAAAGGCCGGCCAAAGAAGGUGAUAGCCCUGUAGACGAAAUGCUCUUAGCUCGUUGAAUUGAGGUCCUGAGUACCACGGGGCUCGAGAAACCCUGUGGGAAUCCGGGACGACCACGUUCCAAGGCUAAAUACUACCUGAUGACCGAUAGCGUACCAGUACCGUGAGGGAAAGGUGAAAAGAACCCCGGUGAGGGGAGUGAAAUAGAACCUGAAACCGUAUACCUACAAGCAGUGAAAGGGCUAUGCCCCGCAAGGGGAAUGCCUGAUCACGUGCCUUUUGCUUAAUGAGCCUGCGAGUUUUUCGGCGCAGCAAGGUUAAGGCGAAAAGCCGGAGCCGUAGCGAAAGCGAGUCCGAAAUGGGCGAGUAGUUGCGUCGAAAAGACCCGAAGCGAAGUGAUCUACCCAUGGCCAGGGUGAAUCCGCUGUAACAGGCGGAGGAGGCCCGAACCGGUGUUUGUUGCAAAAAGCUCGGAUGAGCUGUGGGUAGGAGUGAAAGGCUAAUCAAACUUCGUUAUUGCUGGUUCUCCCCGAAAUAGCUAGAGGGCUAGCCUCGGUACAGCCGUGGCGGAGGUAGAGCACUGAAUGAGCUAGGGGCGUUCCAACGCUACCGAACUCUAUCAAACUCCGAAUGCCGCCACUGGACGACCGGGAGUCAGACUAUGGGUGCUAAGAUCCGUGGUCGAGAGGGAAAUAGCCCAGACCGCCAGCUAAGGUCCCGAAUCGUGAGCUAAGUGGGAAAGGUUGUGAGGUCGCUCAGACAGCCAGGAGGUUGGCUUAGAAGCAGCCAUCCUUUAAAGAGUGCGUAAUAGCUCACUGGUCGAGCGAACUUGCGCCGAAAAUUUAACGGGGCUUAAGUUCACAACCGAAGCUGCGGACUUCUCUCGCAAGAGAGGAGUGGUAGGGGAGCAUUCUCUGUGCAGUGAAGGUAGACCGACAAGGACUGCUGGAGCGCAGAGAAGAGAUUAUGCAGGCAUAAGUAGCGAUAAACGAUGUGAGAAUCAUCGUCCCCGUAAGCCUAAGGUUUCCUGGCCUAUGUUCGUCAGGUCAGGGUUAGUCGGACCCUAAGCCGAGGCCGAAAGGCGUAGGCGAUGGAAAACAGGUCAACAUUCCUGUACCACCGUGUUAACGUUAUCAGCGAAGGGGGGACGCAGAAGGGUAGGCACCGCCGGGUCGCUGGAAUGCCCGGUCCAAGCAGGUAGGCGGGUCUCGUAGGAAAAUCCGCGGGGCCGUUAACGCCGAGACGCGAUGGGGAGGCCGUAAGGCCAUAAACGGGCUGAUCCCACACUGCCGAGAAAAGCCUCGUAGCGAGUUAGCAUGGUGUCCGUACCGCAAACCGACACAGGUAGGCAGGUAGAAUAUACCAAGGGGCGUGAGAGAACACUCCCUAAGGAACUAUGCAAUCUAGCCCCGUAACUUCGGAAGAAGGGGUACCUCUGUUAGGUGAAGCCGUACAGGCCGAGCCGAGAGAGGUUGCAAUAAAGUGGCUCUAGCGACUGUUUAACAAAAACACAGGACUCUGCAAACACGCAAGUGGAUGUAUAGGGUCUGACGCCUGCCCGGUGCUGGAAGGUUAAAUGGAGGGGUUAGCCGUAAGGCGAGGCUCUGAAAUGAAGCCCCAGUAAACGGCGGCCGUAACUAUAACGGUCCUAAGGUAGCGAAAUUNNAGUGACUCAGCGAAUUUGUUGUUCCGGUGAAGAAGCCGGGUGCCCGCAACUAGACGGAAAGACCCUGUGCACCUUUACUACAACUUGACAUUGGGUGUUGGACGGGUAUGUGUAGGAUAGGUGGGAGGCUGUGAGGCGGGGGCGCUAGUUCCCGCGGAGCCAACCUUGAAAUACCACCCUUAUUUUUCUGACAUUCUAACUCGGCCCUGUAAUCCAGGGCGAAGACAGUGUCUGGUGGGUAGUUUGACUGGGGCGGUCGCCUCCCAAAAAGUAACGGAGGCGCCCAAAGGUUCCCUCAGGCUGGUCGGUAAUCAGCCGUCGAGUGUAAAGGCAAAAGGGAGCUUGACUGCGAGACUGACAGGUCGAGCAGAGACGAAAGUCGGGCUUAGUGAUCCGGUGGUUCCAAGUGGAAGGGCCAUCGCUCAACGGAUAAAAGGUACGCCGGGGAUAACAGGCUGAUCUCCCCCAAGAGUUCACAUCGACGGGGAGGUUUGGCACCUCGAUGUCGACUCAUCGCAUCCUGGGGCUGAAGCAGGUCCCAAGGGUCGGGCUGUUCGCCCGUUAAAGCGGUACGAGAGUUGGGUUCAGAACGUCGUGAGACAGUUCGGUCCCUAUCUGUUGUGGGCGGAGGAGAUUUGAGAGGGCCGUUCACUAGUACGAGAGGACUGUGAAGGACGGACCUCUGGUUUGCCGGUUGUCGCGCCAGCGGCAGUGCCGGGUAGCUACGUUCGGUUGGGAUAACCGCUGAAAGCAUCUAAGCGGGAAGCCUGCCUCAAGAUUAGAUCUCCCGGACCUUUAGGUCCCUAAAGGCCACUCGAAGACUACGAGUUUGAUAGGCUGGGUGUGGAAACCCUGUAAAGGGCGAAGCUUACCAGUACUAAUCGGCCGUGCGGCUUAACA
This 2939-nucleotide ribosomal RNA is filed under the name groundwater metagenome. Its description in RNAcentral is "bacterial LSU rRNA". It matches the Rfam family "Bacterial large subunit ribosomal RNA". The record is from RNAcentral.